Long non-coding RNA from Drosophila miranda, 1117 nucleotides. RefSeq lists it as uncharacterized. Lineage: Eukaryota; Metazoa; Arthropoda; Insecta; Diptera; Drosophilidae. The transcript has 3 exons. The record is from RefSeq and is a predicted model, not a curated record.
CACCUCCUCCGCCUCCGCCUCCUCCACCGCCUGCGCCUCACUCGUUGGGUUCGUUGUCGUAUGGAUCUGUAAAAGAGGGUAUGAUGUAUGAUAUCAUAUCCAAGGCUUCGACGCCCGAGGCUACCCUUUUUUUUCAUUUUGGUUUUAUAGUAUCUAAGCAUUUCAGCAGCUACGAAACCAGAGAGAUAGAUUGCGCUGCGCCAGGCCAAAUACCAAAUAAACAUUCACCAAUGGGGCUAAGCGCAUAUUAGCUAAUUUGCGAAAGCCAACAACAGACUACGAAUAGCGUCAGACAACCGCUGCAGAAGCGUGUAUCUCUAUCUAAUGAAUACGCAAAGCAGAAUAUGAUGAAAUCGUCUAAACUUAGAUACGGAUUUCAUGGGGCUCGGCUCACGCAAUCCCCCAAACGGACAAUGAGAGCGACAAGGCUGGAAAAACAGGGGACUGGGGACAGACUGGCGAGGAUGAUUAAAUUGCCGCUAAACUUCGCCUUGAGCCUCCCGAUUGGGGCGCAGUUGGAACGAGACUGAGCCUCUCAGAACGAGCCCGAGCAUUUUCUCUUAAUUGCGAAAUGAAAGUGAACUCAACAUCUGCAUUAAAAGCAAUUGAAGAUCUUUUGUGUGUGAGUGAGUAUUACCCCCUGCCUAGUACAUAGAUAUUGUAUCUGUAUCUCUCCAGCUUCUCUCAGUGCUUGAGAGAGUAAGCUCGGGUGGAUCGAGAGGUAUCUUCUAAUUAUACUUUUUUUUGGCGCUGCUAAUGGUCAGACUCGACUCUGAGCCAUGCCAUGGAAGUAUUUAAUGAAUUGGAACUAAUUGGUGCGAUGAAAAUCUGUAUAGGAAAGGUCAGGGCCAGGCCCAUUAUUAGAUCGAGCUGAAGGCCAAUCAUCUGUAAUGAUCCACCCACACUUGACCAAGUAGAAAAUGUUAUACUCCAUGAAGAUGUCACUCCAUAGAUACGAGUGCCUAUGGAUAGGCUAAUCUAAUAACACGCCUGUCAAUAUCUAUACUCGUAGUAUGUUAGCAUACAACGCAAUCGAUAAAUCUUUAGUUGUGUUCAGAAAGUCAUAGAUAAACCAGACGCCAUAUGUUAUACAAUAUAGAACAAGUUUUUUAUGGUU